AUACGGAGGGUCCGAGCGUUAUCCGGAAUCAUUGGGUUUAAAGGGUCCGUAGGCGGGAAUCUAAGUCAGUGGUGAAAUCUUGCAGCUCAACUGUAAAAUUGCCAUUGAUACUGGAUUUCUUGAAUUAGUGUGAAGUUGUUAGAAUGUGUAGUGUAGCGGUGAAAUGCAUAGAUAUUACACAGCAUACCAAUUGCGAAGGCAGAUCACUAACACUAUAUUGACGCUAAGGGACGAAAGCGUGGGGAGCGAACAGGAUUAGAUACCCUUGUAGUCC
RNAcentral lists this ribosomal RNA (274 nucleotides) under uncultured bacterium. RNAcentral describes it as "partial 16S ribosomal RNA". It matches the Rfam family "Bacterial small subunit ribosomal RNA", at positions 523 to 796 of the family's 1533-position model. The record is from RNAcentral.